UAUAUGCUGAUGCCUUUGGGCACAAGAGGUUAGUGUGCUUACCCAAAAGACAACACUGAGAAGGAUACAACAUUGCAUCAAAAACCUUACGGAGGAGGGAAUAAAGUGCUGAGAUAAAUUGUGUUGGGACUACAGAAAAAAGAGAAACUGAUGUCUGGAACCUCAGAGUUAAACAGGGUACCGCUGGAACCAAAGCGGCUCUGACUGCCAAGGAUGUCAUCUGCCCAGUAAUGAAUGGGAACGGUCAGUUUGAAAUGACAUGAAGCACAGACCAGGAGCUGAAAAUGUCACAACUGACAGCUCCUGCUUGGUGCUUUUUCCACUGGGCACACCAGAAGGAGUCCUGACUCGUGCAUACAACUUGUAGCAACAGACUGUCUCUACAGAACUGAUGGUUUGAGCUGCUGCUAUACACAGCUCAGGGCAAAAUCCAGAGCAGCAUCUUUGCUAGCCUUCUGCUGCCUGUUUGAGCUGACAAGGAACUGUUUAUGAGUGGUGCCUCUGCAUCAGGUACUUGCAUGACUCCCACCGCCCAUGAGAGACAGAUGACAUUUGUUCUUAUGAUAAGUGGGAAGACAGAAAUCCAGGCUCCCAUUCAUCAGGUAUCAAUCACUAUGUAUUUUUUUUUUUUUAAUUGAAAGCUUUGUUUAAAAAA
This is a long non-coding RNA of Oxyura jamaicensis (ruddy duck), 655 nucleotides long. RefSeq lists it as uncharacterized. NCBI's taxonomy places the organism in Eukaryota, Metazoa, Chordata, Aves, Anseriformes, Anatidae. The record is from RefSeq and is a predicted model, not a curated record. The transcript has 2 exons.